Non-coding RNA from Listeriaceae bacterium FSL A5-0209, 173 nucleotides. The record is from Rfam. NCBI's taxonomy places the organism in Bacteria, Bacillati, Bacillota, Bacilli, Caryophanales, Listeriaceae.
UCCAUGGCGACGUGGAAUCUGAAGGAAGCUCAAGGCAAAUCUCUGAUCCGACAAACAGAAAUCACAUAGAAGGCGACAUGCAAGGAUAAGGUUGCAAAAGAAGCCGAAGUCCAAUAACUACUAGAAACUUGUAUGGUGUAGAUGUGGCGAUAGAUGGAGAAAAUGAUGCCAAA